RNAcentral lists this ribosomal RNA (333 nucleotides) under Eisenia andrei. RNAcentral's name for it is "partial 16S ribosomal RNA". It matches the Rfam family "Bacterial large subunit ribosomal RNA", at positions 1955 to 2524 of the family's 2925-position model. The record is from RNAcentral. Lineage: Eukaryota; Metazoa; Annelida; Clitellata; Crassiclitellata; Lumbricidae.
GGUAGCAUAAUCACUUGCCCNUUAAUUGUGGGNUAGAAUGAAAGGNCUAACGAANNNNAAACUGUCUCUAUAAGUGACAUAAAAAUUAAUCUCUAACUGAAGAUUGUUAGAUAUCGUCGAAGGACAAGAAGGCCCUAUAGAGCUUUAUUUUAAUAAAUAACUAUAAUUUAUAUAAAUUCGGUUGGGGCGACCAGGGAAAUUAAAUAUCAUCCCUUAAUAGCAGAUAACUCAAUCACACACUUGACCCUUUACCAAAGAUCAUCAAAACAAGCUACCUUAGGGAUAACAGGCUAAUCCCACUAAAGAGUCCUUAUCAAUAGUGGGGUUUGGCAC